RNAcentral lists this non-coding RNA (162 nucleotides) under uncultured Selenomonas sp. Lineage: Bacteria; Bacillati; Bacillota; Negativicutes; Selenomonadales; Selenomonadaceae. The record is from RNAcentral.
AGGUGUCGGAAGACUUAAUAAGGAAGUCCGGUGAGAGGUGUAUCCUCAAGGCCGGUGCGGUCCCGCCACUGUAUCAGGGAGCGAUCCUGCUAUAUGCCACUGGGAAAUAUCCUGGGAAGGCGCAGGAAAGCUGAGAUCUGGAGCCAGGAGAAUUGCCUGACC